Molecule: non-coding RNA, 45 nt
Organism: Schistosoma rodhaini
Lineage: Eukaryota; Metazoa; Platyhelminthes; Trematoda; Strigeidida; Schistosomatidae
Source: Rfam
AUCCAGCUGAUGAGUUGCAAAUAGGACGAGACGCGCCUCCUGGAU